Molecule: ribosomal RNA, 407 nt
Filed under: uncultured bacterium
Lineage: Bacteria
Description: partial 16S ribosomal RNA
Rfam family: Bacterial small subunit ribosomal RNA
Source: RNAcentral
AUUGAACGCUGGCGGCAGGCCUAACACAUGCAAGUCGAGCGGAGCGGCGGAGGGGGGAGGAAGGGCUAGGAAUCUGCCAGGUAGUGGGGGAGAGGGUCCGGAAACGGGCACUAAAACCGCAUACUAUCAGAAUAGCCUAGGUCGGAUUAGCUAGUGGGUGGGGUAAGGGCCUACCAAGGCGACGGUCAGGAACUGGUCUGAGAGGAUGAUCAGCCACACUGGAACUGAGACACGGUCCAGACUCCUACGGGAGGCAGCAGUGGGGAAUAUUGGACAAUGGGCGAAAGCCUGAUCCAGCCAUGCCGCGUGUGUGAAGAAGGUCUUCGGAUUGUAAAGCACUUUAAGUUGGGAGGCGUUACCAACAGAAUAAGCACCGGCUAACUCCGUGCCAGCAGCCGCGGUAAUAC